This 738-nucleotide ribosomal RNA is filed under the name Leiopelma archeyi (Coromandel frog). RNAcentral's name for it is "partial 16S ribosomal RNA". It matches the Rfam family "Bacterial large subunit ribosomal RNA", at positions 1822 to 2831 of the family's 2925-position model. Lineage: Eukaryota; Metazoa; Chordata; Amphibia; Anura; Leiopelmatidae. The record is from RNAcentral.
CUUGCAACAAACAUGUAUAAGAGGUAUCGCCUGCCCAGUGACAAUUGUUCAACGGCCGCGGUAUUCUGACCGUGCAAAGGUAGCGUAAUCAUUUGUCUUUUAAAUAAAGACCAGUAUGAACGGCACCACGAGGGCUCAACUGUCUCCCCUGUCUAAUCAGUGAAAUUGAUUUCCCAGUGCAGAAGCUGGGAUAAUAACAUAAGACGAGAAGACCCCAUGGAGCUUAAGACACAAAAGCAUCUGCCCCCCCCCCCCAAUAGUCUUACAGCAGCCAUGACUUUCUGUCUUCGGUUGGGGCGACCACGGAGAAAAAUAAUCCUCCGAGCCGAACGGGGCACACACCACCCCCUAACCAAGAGCCACAACUCCAAGUAAUAGGACCUCUAACGGAAUCUGAUCCAAACUGAUUGAUCAACGAACCAAGUUACCCUGGGGAUAACAGCGCAAUCCACUCCGAGAGUCCAUAUCGACGAGCGGGUUUACGACCUCGAUGUUGGAUCAGGACCCCCUAAUGGUGAAGCCGCUAUUAACGUGUUCGUUUGUUCAACGAUUAAAGUCCUACGUGAUCUGAGUUCAGACCGGAGCAAUCCAGGUCAGUUUCUAUCUAUGCUAACAAUUUUCCUAGUACGAAAGGACCGGAAAAAUGGGGCCCAUGCAUAAACAAGCCCCCGCCUAUUACUAAUGAAAGCAACUCAAUUAGUAAUAGGCCUGCCAAACAACCGCCCUAAUUCAGGGCUA